This 342-nucleotide ribosomal RNA is filed under the name uncultured Pseudomonas sp. Its description in RNAcentral is "bacterial SSU rRNA". It matches the Rfam family "Bacterial small subunit ribosomal RNA", at positions 1043 to 1382 of the family's 1533-position model. The record is from RNAcentral. Lineage: Bacteria; Pseudomonadati; Pseudomonadota; Gammaproteobacteria; Pseudomonadales; Pseudomonadaceae.
GCAUGGCUGUCGUCAGCUCGUGUCGUGAGAUGUUGGGUUAAGUCCCGUAACGAGCGCAACCCUUGUCCUUAGUUACCAGCACGUUAUGGUGGGCACUCUAAGGAGACUGCCGGGUGACAAACCGGAGGAAGGUGGGGGAUGACGUCAAGUCAUCAUGGCCCUUACGGCCUGGGCUACACACGUGCUACAAUGGUCGGUACAAAGGGUUGCCAAGCCGCGAGGUGGAGCUAAUCCCAUAAAACCGAUCGUAGUCCGGAUCGCAGUCUGCAACUCGACUGCGUGAAGUCGGAAUCGCUAGUAAUCGUGAAUCAGAAUGUCACGGUGAAUACGUUCCCGGGCCUU